AUGGUUAAAAAUAGAAAGUGUUGCCAUCAGCCAUCAAUUAGUGCUCGAGUGCUGAGGUCAGGGGACAGAUCUGGAGGAGUCAGCUCCGCUUGUUUUCUCCUUGAUCUCACCAGGGAAGGAGAUCUCCUCCAGCCUCCAGCCCAUGUCCCCGUCUUGGCCUUGCUUGGAACUGAGUCACGUGAGCACUUGCUACUGCCAUCCCUUCCAAAAGUGAGAGUUGUCCACUUAUAUAUCAUGGUUUCUGAGUUCAAAGUACUGUGCUAUGCACCUGUGGCUGGAUGCUUUCAGACCGGACCACCGGCAACACCAUUUCCUGAAGUUAGAUCUCAAAGUCAAAGAGGAGUUUGUUCAGCAUGUUCUGCUGUCAUCAAUAUGCAAAUGUCCAUUCCCACUAGGGGAAGUUAUUGCAUAUGAUCCACAAACAUAUCAGGUCUUGAAAUUCUUUUUUUCUGACAGAGCUAUUGAUUAAUGGUCCAUAAAAUACAUUCAUGAAAAUGUUCUUAGACAAUGUCCUAUAACCAUCACUACUUGAUACAUUUUUAUGAUAAAUAUCACUUGGCUCUUCAGUUUUCUACAAUUGUUUUAAAAGAAAAAGUUCAAGCCUGUAAAAUAUGGAUGCAACAUAAUAAUAAAUAUUUACACACAACAUCAAGAUUUGAAGUUGAAUCUUUACUUUUUCUCCUUUGAGAAAGCUACAAAGCACAGGGCUCCUUGAAGAGUCCAGAAUCUGCUACAUCAAAGAGAAAUGCUACAUACCAUGCUAAAAAUGACAAUCAACCAGAAAGCUUAAGUAAAUAACAGCACUAUAUCACAUCAUCCAGUUACUGUUUAAAGUUUAUUCAGGUAUUUCCUAAUGUGUCUUGUAGCUGCUUAGAAAGUCUAGAAUACCAUUAAGAUGCACUUCUGAGUGUAUGUGGGUG
Molecule: long non-coding RNA, 920 nt
Filed under: Rattus norvegicus (Norway rat)
Lineage: Eukaryota; Metazoa; Chordata; Mammalia; Rodentia; Muridae
Description: long non-coding RNA NONRATT033650
Source: RNAcentral